GAUGAACGCUGGCGGCGUGCUUAACACAUGCAAGUCGAACGAUUAAAGCCCCUUCGGGGGUGUAUAGAGUGGCGAACGGGUGAGUAACACGUGGGGAACCUGCCCUUCUCUCUGGGAUAACCCUCGGAAACGAGAGCUAAUACCGGAUACUCCUUGCGGACCGCAUGGUCUGCUCGGGAAAGCUCCGGCGGAGAUGGAUGGCCCCGCGGCCCAUUAGCUUGUUGGUAGGGUAAUGGCCUACCAAGGCGACGAUGGGUAGCCGAGCUGAGAGGCUGAUCGGCCACACUGGGACUGAGACACGGCCCAGACUCCUACGGGAGGCAGCAGUGGGGAAUUUUGCGCAAUGGGCGAAAGCCUGACGCAGCAACGCCGCGUGCGGGAUGAAGGCCCUCGGGUUGUAAACCGCUUUCAGCAGGGACGAACGUGACGGUACCUGCAGAAGAAGCCCCGGCUAACUACGUGCCAGCAGCCGCGGUAAUACGUAGGGGGCAAGCGUUAUCCGGAUUCAUUGGGCGUAAAGAGCGCGUAGGCGGACUGUUAAGUCAGAUGUGAAAACCGGGGGCUCAACCCGCGGCCUGCAUCUGAAACUGGCAGUCUUGAGUCUGGUAGAGGAAAGUGGAAUUCCUGGUGUAGCGGUGAAAUGCGCAGAUAUCAGGAGGAACACCAGUGGCGAAGGCGGCUUUCUGGGCCACGACUGACGCUGAGGCGCGAAAGCUAGGGGAGCGAACAGGAUUAGAUACCCUGGUAGUCCUAGCCGUAAACGAUGGGCACUAGGUGUGGGAGGUCAUCGACUCCUUCCGUGCCGAAGCUAACGCAUUAAGUGCCCCGCCUGGGGAGUACGGCCGCAAGGCUAA
This 854-nucleotide ribosomal RNA is filed under the name uncultured Actinomycetes bacterium. RNAcentral describes it as "bacterial SSU rRNA". It matches the Rfam family "Bacterial small subunit ribosomal RNA", at positions 28 to 897 of the family's 1533-position model. The record is from RNAcentral. Lineage: Bacteria; Bacillati; Actinomycetota; Actinomycetes.